GAUGAACGCUGGCGGCGUGCCUAAUACAUGCAAGUCGAACGGAGAUUCUGUCGUAAUUCGUUACAGCGGAAAUCUCAGUGGCGAACGGGUGAGUAACGCGUUGGUGACCUGCCCCGGAGAGGGGGAUAACAGCUUGAAAGGGCUGCUAAUACCCCAUGAUGUCUAGAGGGUUAGAAACUUCUAGACGAAAGGCUUCGGUCGCUUCGGGAGGGGCCUGCGUCCCAUCAGCUAGUUGGUAGGGUAAUGGCCUACCAAGGCGAAGACGGGUAGGGGACCUGAGAGGGUGACCCCCCACAAUGGAACUGAAACACGGUCCAUACACCUACGGGUGGCAGCAGCAGGGAAUAUUGCACAAUGGGCGAAAGCCUGAUGCAGCAACGCCGCGUGCGCGAAGAAGGCCUUCGGGUUGUAAAGCGCUUUUCGGGGAGAAGAGAAAGGACGGUUCCC
Molecule: ribosomal RNA, 447 nt
Filed under: uncultured Anaerolineaceae bacterium
Lineage: Bacteria; Bacillati; Chloroflexota; Anaerolineae; Anaerolineales; Anaerolineaceae
Description: bacterial SSU rRNA
Rfam family: Bacterial small subunit ribosomal RNA
Source: RNAcentral